UACGAAGGGGGCGAGCGUUGUUCGGAUUUACUGGGCGUAAAGGGCGCGCAGGCGGCUUAUUUUGUCAGGCGUGAAAGCCCCGGGCUUAACCUGGGAACUGCGUUUGAUACGGAUGGGCUAGAGUUCGGGAGAGGAGAGUGGAAUUCCCAGUGUAGAGGUGAAAUUCGUAGAUAUUGGGAAGAACACCGGUGGCGAAGGCGGCUCUCUGGACCGAUACUGACGCUGAGGCGCGAAAGCGUGGGGAGCGAACAGG
RNAcentral lists this ribosomal RNA (253 nucleotides) under uncultured bacterium. RNAcentral's name for it is "partial 16S ribosomal RNA". It matches the Rfam family "Bacterial small subunit ribosomal RNA", at positions 524 to 776 of the family's 1533-position model. The record is from RNAcentral.